GCUCAGGGUGGCGAUUUUGUUAAGCGGGAUGGGUCUGGUGGAGAGAGCAUUUACGGGGGAAAGUUUCCAGAUGAGACUCCAAGGCUUAAGCAUGAUGGUCCUGGUCUUCUGUCAAUGUCAAUUGCUGACCGUGACACACUAGGUUCUCAAUUUAUCAUUACCUUUAAGGCUAAUCAUCUUCUUGAUAGGAAGUAUGUAGCCUUUGGGAAGCUUGUACAAGGAGAUGAAGUGCUGAAAAAAAUUGAAAGUGUAGGCGAUGAAGAAGGGAGACCAUUGGUAACAGUGAAAAUAAUCAAUUGUGGUGAAUUUAAGGAGGGUGCGGACAAGAAGAAAGUACAUAAACUUAAAAUGGGAAAGGAUGCUUUGUCUGAUUCUGAUAGUCAUGAAGCGCGAAAGAAAGGAAAGCACAAGAAAUCAUCAAGAGACAGAAAGAAGAAGAGGAGAAGAUACCACUCAUCUGAGUCAGAGAGUUCAUAUGAUUCUGAUAUGGGAUCAUCCGAGUCUGAUAGUGAUUCUGACUCUUAUAUGUCCUCGUCUGAUAUUAGUUCCUCAAGUGAUGAAAGGCGUAAGAAGAGAAAGAGAUCUUCUAAAAGAGACAAGUAUAGACGUGGAAAAAGAAGAGAGAAACGGCGUGAAAAAAGGCAAAAGAAACGUGACAAGAGAUCCAGACGUAGAUCAAGAAGGGCAUCAGAUAGCCUUACUGAAGAUGAGAGUGAGAGUAAAAGUGGAGGCAGCUCUGAUGAUGAUGAUCUUGAAGUCCAGGCGAAAGAUCGAAGACGUAAAGAUGCUUUGAUGAAAAAUGCAGGGGAUCAGUUGCCGGUGGUUCUGGAGGAAGAUGCUUCCUUGCCUCAUAAAAUGAGGGAAGAACAAGAUAUACUCAAAAAGGAAGAGGGUGGAUCCCCUAAGGAAAAUGGAGGGCGGCGGAGCAAUGGCAUUGAGGCAGAUGCUACAUCUGACAGAAGUGAAGAUGGAUUACCUGAUGUUGUAGACGAUCAUCCGGGCAAAUCUAGGAGCCGAAGCAUGAGUCCCAAGAGGACCAUGAGUAAGAGUAU
This 1052-nucleotide unclassified non-coding RNA is filed under the name Hevea brasiliensis (rubber tree). The record is from RNAcentral. Lineage: Eukaryota; Viridiplantae; Streptophyta; Magnoliopsida; Malpighiales; Euphorbiaceae.